ACCCUCUCAGGAUCGCACCUGGAGAGUUGCCGGUACUGUACCGGUCUCGGCCGUGGGAGAGAGAGUCAAGCAGAGGCAUGCCCAUUCCAUUUCUAGCUUGGGCAGUGGCUAGCGAGUGGAAGAUAAUCUGCUAGGAUU
Small nucleolar RNA from Tachyglossus aculeatus (Australian echidna), 138 nucleotides. Lineage: Eukaryota; Metazoa; Chordata; Mammalia; Monotremata; Tachyglossidae. The record is from RefSeq and is a predicted model, not a curated record.